This is a long non-coding RNA of Canis lupus familiaris (dog), 1056 nucleotides long. RefSeq lists it as uncharacterized. The transcript has 3 exons. Lineage: Eukaryota; Metazoa; Chordata; Mammalia; Carnivora; Canidae. The record is from RefSeq and is a predicted model, not a curated record.
UCAGACCUCAUCCCUGUUAUCUCCUUAUUGUUUGUGGGAGCAGCUCCGAUGGGCCGUGUGGAGGCGGUACCAGAAAGGGCCAAGUGGCUUCCGGUGCUUUGCCUGCUGGAGACUUCAGAGUUCUUGGGCUUCCAGAUGCAUCCCACAGUCCUCCGCGGUCACAUGGCCCUCUCCCUAUGCCUCUCCACUUGCAUCUGGCCUUCCUGUAAGGACAGCAGUCCUGCUGGACUCAGGCCUCCUACUCCAGUAUGACUCCAUCUUACCUCAUUACAUCUGCUAUGGCCCCAUUUCCACCUGAGGUCCCAUUCUGAGGCCCUGGGGGUUAGGAUUCUAACUUAUUUUUUUUUUUUUUUUUGUGGGGUGGGACAGACAGUCCUACCUGUGCAGUCACUGUGGGCAAAUUACCCCCCUUCUUUGGGCUCCCAUUUCCUCCUGUAUAAAUGGGGUUCCUGGCAGUACUCACUCCAAGGAUUGUUUUAGGAAUGAGAGUAGAUGGAUGUGCAUCUUAUGUAGUGAGUGCUGUACAGGGGUCGCCUGUCGUCAGCCACUCCAAACCUGCAGUCUGGUGACACCCGGGAUCAAGGGCAGUAGCACGAGGAACAUGGGGCUGCUGCGCAAGUUGUGUUUCAAGCUGCUUAAUGGAAACUUCCACCUGCCGUGAAGGAGACACAGCCACGUGGAUGCAAGUACCUGGAGUCCGUGGAGGAGAAUGAAGUCUGCAAGCUCCUGAGUGGUGAAAGGGCUGACAAUCCCUCCCCCAAAGCCCCUUGCUGGCUACAAAUCUAGAGAUUCUGAAAACUACCUGGCCGGGGCGUGGGCACACAUCCUCCAAGGAGAGUGGGGGCUGGCUGCCGUCCUUGCUGCACUCAGGGUUUGACAGUCUCAGAGAUGAAUUGGGUCUAGUCGGCUCUCAGAUUCCACCGAGAACAGGACACAUCAAGGUGUCCUUGUGAAGAACGCCCAAGAAGCGCCUGUGGAUUUGUUUAUUCUACAGAUAACAAAGGACAAAGAGAUUUCUGUUUCUUUUAGGGCAUCCAAAUGUGCUAGCAAAAGAUA